Molecule: RNA transcript, 6859 nt
Organism: Pongo pygmaeus (Bornean orangutan)
Lineage: Eukaryota; Metazoa; Chordata; Mammalia; Primates; Hominidae
Gene: RILPL2
Gene name: Rab interacting lysosomal protein like 2
Exons: 6
Source: RefSeq, a predicted model, not a curated record
CUUGCCAAGGUGACAGCGCGGGUUACGUGGAGGAGCCGAGGACACAGCGAAGUCAGCAGGGCAGGAAUUCUCCAUUUUAUUGAGAGUCACAGCGAAGUCGGAUGCCCCAGGCCCUAGUGACAAUUUGCCUGGGAGUUUUCCAGAUCCUCAAGCCUCGGGGACUCUGUCGCGCUGCCCCCAACAGCUGCUUUCUGUUUGGCCGCAGGCUCCAGAAAACACCCUCAAAGAGACACCCGGAUCUUCCAUCACUUACGAUGCAAAUUCUACGGCUGGAAAGCACGAGGGUAGAAAGGAAACAGUUGCGUUCUUUUUACCCCGCUCUGGAUUGCACGGUGGAAACUCCGUCUCCACGGAAACGCGCCCCCAGGCAGUGGUCGCCAGGGGCGGGGCUCAGGGCGGCUCCUCCCCCGGGCUGCAACUGUUCGCAGGCUGGGGCGAUUGCCGUCACCCCUGAACUUCCCUGUUCCUCUUCUCGGCCGCCGUCCUUUUCCGUUGUCCCUUCGCGCCCCAAACCACAUCCUAGAGCGCACUCUCCAGCGCUGCCGGCAGCGGGAACGGUGCGCCAGGGCGCAGGCCCAAGAGUCGCGUGCGUGGCCCCUUGCACCAUCCCCCCGGGCCCACCCCCGGGCCGCGCUGAUUGGGCAGGUAGGGACUCUGCCCAGCGGAAAGUUUUGGGUGCCGGGAGGAAGUCCAACCUUUGGGAGACUCAAAGACAGCAGCUCCGGGGUCGGCGGGGGUCUGGGUGGCCAUGGAGGAGCCCCCUGUGCGGGAAGAGGAGGAGGGAGAGGAGGACGAGGAGAGGGACGAGGCUGGGCCCGAGGGGGCGCUGGGCAAGAGCCCCUUCCAGCUGACCGCCGAGGACGUGUAUGACAUCUCCUACCUGUUGGGCCGCGAGCUUAUGGCCCUGGGCAGCGACCCCCGGGUGACGCAGCUGCAGUUCAAAGUCGUCCGCGUCCUGGAGAUGCUGGAGGCGCUGGUGAAUGAGGGCAACCUGGCGCUGGAGGAGCUGAAGAUGGAGAGGGACAACCUCAGGAAGAAGGUGGAGGGGCUGCGGAGACAGAGCCCUUCGGCCAGCGGGGAGGUCCUGCCUUCAGUGCUCCAGAAAUACACAGAAUUGGAAUUGCUGGAUCAAAUGGUGAACCUGGGCCCAAACAAAAUGGUGGUUGACCUGACAGAUCCCAACCGACCCCGCUUCACUCUGCAGGAGCUAAGGGAUGUGCUGCAGGAACGCAACAAACUCAAGUCACAGCUCCUGGUGGUGCAGGAAGAGCUGCAGUGCUACAAGAGUGGCCUGAUUCCACCAAGAGAAGGCCCAGGAGGAAGAAGAGAAAAAGAUGCUGUGGUUACUAGGGCCAACAAUGCUGGCAGGAACAAGGAGGAGAAGACAAUCAUAAAAAAGCUGUCUGCAGCUUCACUCCUGAAGCCAGCGAAACCACGAACCCACCGCGAGGAACAAACAACUCCAGACGCGUUGCCUUAAGAGCUAUAACACCGUGAAGGUCCGCAGCUUCACUCCUGAGCCAGCGAAACCUCGAACCUACCAGAAGGAAGAAACUCCGAACACAUCCGAACAGCAGAAGGAACAAACUCCAGACACGCGGCCUUUAAGAACUGUAACACUCACCGCGAGGGUCCGCGGUUUCAUUCUUGAAGUCAGUGAGACCAAGAACCCACCAAUUCCGGACACACUGGGAUUACAGGCGUCAGCCACCGCACCUGGCUUUUUUUUGGGGGGUGGGGGGUGGGGGGACGGAGUCUUGUUCUAUCGCCGAGGCUGGAGUGCAGUGGCACCAUCUGGGUUCACUGCAAUCUCCGCCUCCCAGAUUCAAGAUUCUCCUACCUCAGCCUCCCGACUAGCUGGGACUACAGGCAUAUGCCACCACACUGGGUUAAUUUUUGUAUUUUUAGUAGAGAUGGGGUUUCACCAUAUUGGCUAGGCUGGUCUCGAACUCCUGACCUCAUGGUCCGCCCACCUCAGCCUCCCAAAGUGCUGGGAUUACAGGCGUGAGCCACCGUGCCCGGCCAGUUUAUAGGUUUAGAAACAAACUCUGACUGUGGAGCUAGGAAGCAGCUUGCCCAGGAGACAAAUGCAGGCCUGAUUCCAAGGCCCGGGCGCGGAGCUGCCAAGUCUAUGGGUCCAGAGUCGCUGGCAAGUCCUAGUAAUAGUAAUAAUUUACUGUAUGCCUCGCCUGCAUCGUUCUAAGUACCUUUCCGAUGCUGUCCCACAUACUUUUGUGGGAUGGGUAUCACUAUUGUCCUUGGGGUCCUCCCAAGGAGGUUAAGGCAUAAUGGGUGAAAAGUCUUGUCCAAGGUCCUCAGCUAGAAAGUGGUAGAAGCAGUACUUGAGCCCAGAUACAAAGUCCACAACCAGGCUUCAACCACUCUGCCUUCCAGGAAGAGUUGGCAGUGUUUAAGAGUCUAGUCCAGAACACUGUCUCAACAGCAUCGUUAGAUCAGGGCUCCUAAUCCCUAGAACCCUGUGUAACACUGCAACCCUGGCCAGGCAUAGUGGUUCAAGCCUGUAAUUGCAGCACUUUUGGAGGCCAAGGUGAGAGGAUUGCUUGAGCCCAGGAGUUCAAGACCAGCCUGGGCAACAUAGUAAGACCCUAUCUUUACAAAAAAUAAAAAAUUAGCCAGGCAUGGUGGUGAGCACCUGUAGUCCCAGCUACUGGGGAGGCUGAGGCGGGAAGAUUAAUUGAGCCCGGGAGUUUGAGGCUGCAGUGAGCUAUGAUCACACCACUGCACUCCAGCCUGGGUGACAGAGUGAGACCCUGUCUCCAAAUACAUAAAUGCUCCCCUGCCUCCCUGUGGGGAUAGAUAGGGUAAGAGAACCCACUCAGAGAGAAAGGUUAAGAUGGCCUGGGUGGCUGUGGUACCCCAGGAGACUAAAAAAAGUUACGGUGAGAAAUGCUUGGAGUGCAACUCUUGGUAAAAUCUGAUGCUGGCAGGCGGGCAUUUUGGAAAAUAAGUCCUGGGGUGAUUCUCCUAGAGAUGGGCCUAGCUUGACCACAGAUAACAGAGCUGUGACGUCAGCUGAGCUCUGGCGGUUCUCACACUGCAGGAUUCCAACUACAAACCUAGACCGGGGAGGAACAGGCUUAGAAGUAGGUUUUCACCAGGCGCAGUGGCUCACGCUUGUAAUCCUAGCACUUUGGGAGGCCAAGGUGGGUGGAUCACAAAGUCAGGAGUUCAAGACCAGCCUGGCCAAGAAGGCGAAACCCUGUCUCUACUAAAAAUACAAAACUUAGCUAUUCAGGAGGCUAAGGCAGGGGAAUUGCUUGAACCUGGAUGGCAGAAGAUGCAGUGAGCUGAGAUCAUGCCACUGCACUCCAGCCUGGGCGACAGAAUGAGACUCUGUCUCAAAAAAAAAAAAAAAAAAGGUAGGUUUUCAAGCCAAGUCUCAGAAGGCACGGGAAGUGGUUGCUGUAGCAAUCAUCUUUUAUUUAUUUGGGACGGAGUCUCACUCUGUCGCCCAGGCUGGAGUGCAGUGGCAGGAUGUCAGCUCCUGACCUCAUAAUCCGCCUGCCUCGCCCUCCCAAAGUGGUGGGAUUACAGGUAUGAGCCACCGUGCCUGGCCAGCAGUCAUCUUUUACAAUGAACAAAUAGGGCUGGGCGCAGUGGCUCACAUCUUUAAUCCUAGCACUUUGGGAGAUGGGCAGAUCAUGAGGUCAGGAGACCAGCCUGGCCAACAUGGUGAAACCUCGUCUCUACUAAAAAUACAAAAAUUAGCUGGGUGUGGUGAUGCACGCCUGUAAUCCUAGCUACUCAGGAGGUUGAGGCAGGAGAAUCGCUUGAACCCGGGAGGUGGAGGUUUCAGUGAGCUGAGAUUGCGCCGCUGCACUCCAUCCUGGGCGACAGACAGACCAAGACUCCAUCUCAAAAAAAAAAAAAAAAGAACAAAUAAGUCAGGCACAGUGGCUCAUGCAUGCCUGUAAUCACAGCCCUGUGGCAGGGUGAGGCAUGAGGAUCGCUUGAGGCCAGGAGUUUGAGACUAGCUUGGGCAACAUAGUGAGACCCUAUCUCUACAAAAAGUAAAAUGAACAAAUAAAUAUAGCAACUACAUAUCAGAACUUGGAGGCACUUAUUAGCUAUUAGUCCUGAGUACUUGUAAACACUGAAUAGAAGCUAGCCAAAUUUUUAAUUCUAAUAAUAGCUAAUACUGAUUAUUGGAUUGUCUAUGUGCAAGGCACUAUUCCAAGUGCUUUUUUUUUUUUUUGGUAUUAACUCAUUAAAUCCUCACAAUCACCCCGUACAAGUAUUAUUACUGUCUGCAUGUUACAGGGAGGGAAACUGACACACAAGGAGACUAUGUACCUGCCCAAGUUACACAGCAGUGGAUUGGAAGCAGAGGUUCUGUUCCAGCAGCCACAUGUCCCCUCCAAGGAUCGCUGAGAUUCACCUGUAUGGAGGCCACUACCAUGGAUGAGAAGAGGGCCUCCAAUCCCGAGGGUCAAUACAGCCCUGAACAGAGAACUGGGAGGGGGCACCCCCGGAUCCACCUCUCCUCUAAGGCCACCCCUCCUGCACCUACCUCCAUCCCUAACCCUGGGUUCUACUGCUCUGCCAUUGCACAGAUACUACGGAGCAAAAGGGAACCAAAUGAAGACAGAUCAGAAGCUCCAAACCAGUGUGGCUCACCCCAAACCAGCAUGUCUUGACGGCACAGACUUUCACCAAACCAGAUGGCACGUGUCGGGAGCCUGACACCAACUGCUGAGCUCAGCCCAUUCCCCCUACACAGAGGCCCAAACCAGCUCGCAGCUUUUCCAGGCACUCAAUCCACACCUGCAAUGUGCCAGGCGCUGCAGUCUGUGCUGGGAACAAUGGUGAAUGAGUAACCUCAAGGACAGUCCCAAAUCCUGCCACCUCCUCUCCAUCUCCAUUCCCACUGUGGCCCUGCAACCCAGCCACGGCCCCGGCCACCUCGCUAGUCACCAGGCUUUCACUCUGACCCCAGGGAACACUCAGUUCUCCACAUGGCAGCCAGAGGGGUCUUUUAAAAUGUAAAUGAGGCCACGGGCGGUGGCUCUCUCCUGUAAUCCCAACACUUCAGGAAGACCAGGAAGAAGGACUGCUUAAGGACAGGAGUUAGAGACCAGCCUAAGCAACAGAUCCAGACCCUGUCCCUACAAAAAGUAAAUAAGCUAGGUGUGGUGGCGUACACCUUUGGUCCCAGCUACUCUAGAGGCUGAGGAAGGAGGAGGAUUGCUGGAGCCCAGGAGGUUGAGGCUGCAGUAAGCCAUGACUGUGCCACUGCACUCCAGCCUGGGCAACACAGUGAGACCCUGUCUUAAAAAAAACAGAAAACAUGACCAGGCAUGGUGGCUCACGUCUGUUAUCCCAGCACUUUGGGAGGCUGAGAUGGGUGGAUCACUUGAGGUUAGGAGUUUGAGACCAGCCUGGCCAACAUGGCGAAACCCCAUCUCUACUAAAAACACAAAAAUUAGCUGGGUGUAGUGGCGCACACCUGUAAUCCUGGCCACUCAGGAGGCUGAGGCAGGAGAAUCGCUUGAACCCAGGAGGUGGAGUUUGCAGUAGGCCAAGAUCACACCACUGCACUCCAGCCUGGGAGACAGAGCAAGACUCCAUCUCAAAAAGAAACAAAGAACAAAACCUUCCCAUAAACUUAUUUAAUAGUAAUAUACCUAACAAAACCUCACAUAUCAAUAUUAACCUUAAACAUAAAUGGACUAAAUGUUCCACUUAAAAAAUAUGAAAGAUAAGAGUCAAGAAGGUUAAAAAAAAGAAAGAUAUAUGCCUGUAAUCCCAGCACUUUGGGAGGCCGAGAUGGGCGAAUCACAAAGUCAGGAGAUUGAGACCAUCCUGGCUAACACAGUGAAAUCCCAUCUCUACUAAAAAUACAAAAAAUUAGCCGGGCGUGGUGGUGGGCACCUGUAGUCCCAGCUACUCGGGAGGCUGAGGCAGGAGAAUAGUGUGAACCCGGGAGGCGGAGCUUGCAGUGAGACAAGAUCACGCCACUGCACUCUAGCCUUGGCGACAGAGCAAGACUCCGUCUAAAAAAAAAAAAAAAAAAAAGAAAGAUAUAUAUUGGUGGAAUAGAUUAAAAAAAAAAACACUUGGUCAGGUGCAGUGGCUCAUGCCUGUAAUCCCAGCACUUUGGGAGGCCAAGGCAGGUGGAUCACCUGAGGUUAGGAGUUCGAGACCAGCCUGGCCAACAUGACGAAACCCUGUCUCUACUAAAAAUACAAAAAUCAGCCGGGCAUAGUGGUGCACACCUGUAAUCCCAGCUACUUGGUAGUCUGAGGCAGGAGGUGGAGGUUAGUAAGCCAUAAUCAUGCCACUGUACUCCAGCCUGGGCAACAGAGUGAGACAUUGUCUAAAAACAAAAAACAAAAAACAAAAAAAACCUUCAACCAACAGUAAUAUACCAAUGUUGGUUGUUACUUAGCUGUGACAAAUUCACCAGAGUAACUUAAGUGAGAGAAGCUGGGUAAGGAGUCUGGGGAACUCUCUGUAUUAUCUUUGCAACUCUUCUAUAAAAUUAAAAUUAUUGGCCAGGCGCAGUGGCUCACAUCUGUAAUCCUAGCACUUUGGGAGGCCGAGGUGGGCGAAUCACAAGGUCAGGAGUUUGAGGCCAGCCUGACCAACAUGGUGAAACCCUGUCUCUACUAAAAACACAAAAAUUAGCUGGGUGUGGUGGCAGGCGCCUAUAAUCCCAGCUAUUUGGGAAGCUGAGGCAGGAGCAUUGCUUGAACCUGGGAGGUGGAGGUUGCAGUGAGCCGAGAUCGCACCAUUGCACUCCGGCGCGGGCUACAGAGUGAGACUCUGUCUCAAAAAAAAAAAAAUUGCAAAAUAAAAAGAUUUUAAAAACUUUUUGGCUGGGCGCGGUGGCUCACGC